RNAcentral lists this small nucleolar RNA (151 nucleotides) under Phascolarctos cinereus (koala). RNAcentral describes it as "Small nucleolar RNA ACA59 (ENSPCIG00000020050.2)". The record is from RNAcentral. Lineage: Eukaryota; Metazoa; Chordata; Mammalia; Diprotodontia; Phascolarctidae.
GCCUGGAGUCAGUAAGACCUAGACACUCUGGCCUCAGAUAUUCACUAGCUCUUUGACCCUGGGCACAUCACUUAACCUCUGUUUGCUUCAGUUUCCUCAUCUGUAGAAUGGGGAUAAUAGCACUUAGCUCCCAGAGUUGUGAGGAUCAAAU